This 482-nucleotide ribosomal RNA is filed under the name uncultured bacterium. RNAcentral's name for it is "partial 16S ribosomal RNA". It matches the Rfam family "Bacterial small subunit ribosomal RNA", at positions 30 to 507 of the family's 1533-position model. The record is from RNAcentral.
AUUGAACGCUGGCGGCAUGCCUUACACAUGCAAGUCGAACGGUAACAGGUCUUCGGAUGCUGACGAGUGGCGCACGGGUGAGUAAUACAUCGGAACGUGCCCGAUCGUGGGGGAUAACGGAGCGAAAGCUUUGCUAAUACCGCAUACGAUCUACGGAUGAAAGCAGGGGACCGCAAGGCCUUGCGCGGACGGAGCGGCCGAUGGCAGAUUAGGUAGUUGGUGGGAUAAAAGCUUACCAAGCCGACGAUCUGUAGCUGGUCUGAGAGGACGACCAGCCACACGGGGACUGAGACACGGCCCAGACUCCUACGGGAGGCAGCAGUGGGGAAUUUUGGACAAUGGGCGAAAGCCUGAUCCAGCCAUGCCGCGUGCAGGAUGAAGGCCUUCGGGUUGUAAACUGCUUUUGUACGGAACGAAAAGACUCUUUCUAAUAAAGAGGGUCCAUGACGGUACCGUAAGAAUAAGCACCGGCUAACUACGUG